UAAGACAGAGGGUGCGAGCGUUGUUCGGAAUUACUGGGCGUAAAGGGCGCGUAGGCGGUCUGUUAAGUUCGGUGUGAAAGCCCUCGGCUCACCCGAGGAAGUGCGCCGGAUACUGACAGACUUGAGUACCGGAGAGGAGGGUGGAAUUCCUGGUGUAGCGGUGAAAUGCGUAGAUAUCAGGAGGAACACCGGUGGCGAAGGCGGCCCUCUGGACGAGUACUGACGCUGAGGCGCGAAAGCGUGGGGAUCAAACAGGA
RNAcentral lists this ribosomal RNA (257 nucleotides) under uncultured prokaryote. Its description in RNAcentral is "partial 16S ribosomal RNA". It matches the Rfam family "Bacterial small subunit ribosomal RNA", at positions 521 to 777 of the family's 1533-position model. The record is from RNAcentral.